GGCUGGUCUGAGUGCAGUGGUGUUUACAACUAAUUGAUCGCAAUCAGUUAUAGAUUCCUUUGUUCCUUCUCCACUCCCACUGCUUCACUUGACCAGAGGAAA
Molecule: Y RNA, 102 nt
Filed under: Prolemur simus (greater bamboo lemur)
Lineage: Eukaryota; Metazoa; Chordata; Mammalia; Primates; Lemuridae
Description: Y RNA (ENSPSMG00000025172.1)
Rfam family: Y RNA
About the family: Y RNAs are components of the Ro ribonucleoprotein particle (Ro RNP), in association with Ro60 and La proteins. The Y RNAs and Ro60 and La proteins are well conserved, but the function of the Ro RNP is not known.
Source: RNAcentral